Molecule: ribosomal RNA, 507 nt
Filed under: Grammomys sp.
Lineage: Eukaryota; Metazoa; Chordata; Mammalia; Rodentia; Muridae
Description: partial small subunit ribosomal RNA
Rfam family: Bacterial large subunit ribosomal RNA
Source: RNAcentral
AUUGCCUGCCCAGUGACUUCUAAGUUAAACGGCCGCGGUAUUCUGACCGUGCAAAGGUAGCAUAAUCAUUUGUUCCCCAAUUAGGGACUAGUAUGAAUGGCUAGACGAGGAUUCAACUGUCUCUUAUUCCCAAUCAGUGAAAUUGACCUUCCAGUGAAGAGGCUGGAAUAAAACAAUAAGACGAGAAGACCCUAUGGAGCUUUAAUUAACUAGCCUAAUUAUAAUAAUAAAACCCUAAUGGAACAAAAACAUAAACAUUAAGCUAACAAUUUUGGUUGGGGUGACCUCGGAGAACAAAAAAUCCUCCGAAUGAUUAUAGCACAGACAAACAAGUCAAAGCAAUCCACUAUAUCCAAUUGACCCAAAAACACUUUGACCAACGGACCAAGUUACCCUAGGGAUAACAGCGCAAUCCUAUUUAAGAGUCCAUAUCGACAAUUAGGGUUUACGACCUCGAUGUUGGAUCAGGACACCCCAAUGGUGCAGAAGCUAUUAAAGGUUCGUUUG